This 739-nucleotide ribosomal RNA is filed under the name Clostridioides difficile. RNAcentral's name for it is "partial 23S ribosomal RNA". It matches the Rfam family "Bacterial large subunit ribosomal RNA", at positions 1461 to 2210 of the family's 2925-position model. Lineage: Bacteria; Bacillati; Bacillota; Clostridia; Peptostreptococcales; Peptostreptococcaceae. The record is from RNAcentral.
GAGAAGGGAUGACACAGUAGGAUAAGCUAAGCACACUGUUGGUUAUGUGUGCCCAAGCAUUGAGGCAGUCAAAGUAGGCAAAUCCGCUUUGAUAAUGCUGGGAUGUGAUGGGGAGCGAAAUUUAGUAGCGAAGUAGCUGAUUUCACACUGUCAAGAAAAGUCUCUAUCGAGGUUAAAGGUACCCGUACCGCAAACCGACACAGGUGGGUGAGGAGAGUAUCCUAAGGCCAGCGAGAGAACUGUUGUUAAGGAACUCGGCAAAAUGACCCCGUAACUUAGGGAUAAGGGGUGCCACCAUCAGGUGGCCGCAGAGAAUAGGCCCAAGCGACUGUUUACCAAAAACAUAGGUUUCUGCUAAGUCGCAAGACGAUGUAUAGGAGCUGACGCCUGCCCGGUGCUGGAAGGUUAAGGGGAUCUGUUAGAGCAAUCGAAGCAGUGAACUUAAGCCCCAGUAAACGGCGGCCGUAACUAUAACGGUCCUAAGGUAGCGAAAUUCCUUGUCGGGUAAGUUCCGACCCGCACGAAAGGCGUAACGAUUUGGGCACUGUCUCAACAACAGACUCGGUGAAAUUGUAAUUCCGGUGAAGAUGCCGGAUACCUGCGACAGGACGGAAAGACCCCAUGGAGCUUUACUGUAGCUUGACAUUGGGUCUUGGUACUACAUGUACAGGAUAGGUGGGAGGCUUUGAAACCAGGACGCCAGUUUUGGCGGAGCCAUCCUUGGGAUACCACCCUUGUA